This 84-nucleotide transfer RNA is filed under the name Caldilineae bacterium. RNAcentral describes it as "tRNA-Leu". It matches the Rfam family "tRNA". Rfam says of the family: Transfer RNA (tRNA) molecules are approximately 80 nucleotides in length. Their secondary structure includes four short double-helical elements and three loops (D, anti-codon, and T loops). The record is from RNAcentral. Lineage: Bacteria; Bacillati; Chloroflexota; Caldilineae.
GCGGAAGUGGUGGAAUUGGUAGACACGCUAUCUUGAGGGGGUAGUGCCCAUUCGGGCGUGGGGGUUCGAGUCCCCCCUUCCGCA